UACGGAGGGUGCAAGCAUUAAUCGGAUUUACUGGGCGUAAAGGGGGCGUAGGCGGGAACGCAAGCCGGAUGUGAAAUCCCGGGGCUCAACCCCGGAACUGCAUUCGGAACUGCAUUUCUUGAGGAUAGGCGGAGAAAACGGAAUUCCACAUGUAGCGGUGAAAUGCGUAGAUAUGUGGAAGAACACCGGUGGCGAAGGCGGUUUUCUAGCUUAUUCCUGACGCUGAGGCCCGAAAGCUAGGGGAG
RNAcentral lists this ribosomal RNA (245 nucleotides) under uncultured Parachlamydia sp. RNAcentral describes it as "partial 16S ribosomal RNA". It matches the Rfam family "Bacterial small subunit ribosomal RNA", at positions 524 to 768 of the family's 1533-position model. The record is from RNAcentral. Lineage: Bacteria; Pseudomonadati; Chlamydiota; Chlamydiia; Parachlamydiales; Parachlamydiaceae.